Molecule: ribosomal RNA, 403 nt
Filed under: uncultured bacterium
Lineage: Bacteria
Description: partial 16S ribosomal RNA
Rfam family: Bacterial small subunit ribosomal RNA
Source: RNAcentral
GACGAACGCUGGCGGCGUGCCUAAUACAUGCAAGUCGAACGCAGUGGGGACGGGUGAGUAACACGUGGGUAACCUCCCAUCAGAGGGGGAAACACUGGGAAACAGGUCCUAAACCUAUACUGCUGGUUGACCCCGCGGUGCAUUAGCUAGUUGGUGAGGUAACGGCUCACCAAGGCCACGAUGCAUAGCCGACCUGAGAGGGGGAUCGGCCACACUGGGACUGAGACACGGCCCAGACUCCUACGGGAGGCAGCAGUAGGGAAUCUUCGGCAAUGGACGAAAGUCUGACCGAGCAACGCCGCGUGAGUGAAGAAGGUUUUCGGAUCGUAAAACUCUGUUGUUAGAGAAGCGGUAUCUAACCAGAAAGCCACGGCUAACUACGUGCCAGCAGCCGCGGUAAUUC